UUUUUUUUUUCUUUUUCUUUUUCCAAUGUGUAACCACUGAAGUGAAUUUGGGGUAUUUCAAGGGUCAAUUUAGGGAGACAACUGAAAAGCAGUACCUCGGAAAAAGGUUUUUUUAAAUAUUUAUAUACAUAAAAUAUACUUUUCAAAACGUCUUGAUCAGACAAGUAAUAUUUACCAUAAUUUCUAACAUAGCAAAUAUGACCCUAUUUUGGGGGGCUCCUUCUACACUUUCGGGUCAAGGCUACAAGUGGCCUUUGUUUCUGCCUUAACAUCAUAACGACUCACAGAGAUGUAAAUGUCUAAAUGUGGUGAUAAAAUGAGUCUAGGACAGGAUUACAUUAACUAAUAUACUUGGAAGUAGGAAAUGUUAAUAUUUCCUAAGACAAUAAUAUGUCCCUAGAUAACUUGUCCUUUUCAGUGAUAGAGUGAACAUCUGGAUAUAACAUACUGAGAUGUUCGAGUGACCAUCUUCAGAUUUUGUAUCUUGAUUAUAAAUAUAUCCUUCAUCCUGACCUUGGACAUUGAGCAAAUCCAUGUCUGUGUGCUUUGUGCAACUGUGCAUGUGGGAUGUGCGAGCAUGCAAAUGUGUAUGUGUGCGUCCCUAGCAGUUUGCAAAAAAAGAAAAAUAAUAAAGAGAAUGGUAGUGGACAGAAAUCGUUCUAGUUUUGAUAAGUUACUCAAAUAACCUGGAGCAAAGAAGAGUCAUUAGAGGAGUUAUCGGAAGGCAGGGUGGAGGUCUGUGCCAGAGCAAGGGUCGGGGGCCGAGGCAUUGAACCCCGGUUCAGCGGUUUGCACCGGAAUUCCACUAUGCGUUCACUCGUUCUUUUACAACCGAAAGUUCACCUUCUCUAGUCUUGAUUUUGCCUUUUGCGGGGAGGGGUCAGAAGGCGCCUGAGAUGCCCACUCCCCCUUCUAUCCGGGUGCUCGUGGUAUGCCGGACAUUGCGCACACAGGCGCGUUGGUUCCCGAAUCCACCCGGAGUGGCUCCCGGCAACCACUGGGGUAGACUCACGGAAGCCUGCACAUCCUGGCCUCCGGGGUCCAGAGCAGACUCCAUGAGGGCAGCAUCCUGGGUUGCCCCAGAGGUGGCAGGGACUCUUGGGGGAACAGUGUCGCCAUCACACUGGGCUGUUCGCCCUGCUUGGUAGGGGAAGGAGGGAGAUACUUUUUUUGCAGCCCCGCAUGGG
Molecule: long non-coding RNA, 1187 nt
Filed under: Macaca fascicularis (crab-eating macaque)
Lineage: Eukaryota; Metazoa; Chordata; Mammalia; Primates; Cercopithecidae
Description: lncRNA (ENSMFAG00000060575.1)
Source: RNAcentral